This 408-nucleotide ribosomal RNA is filed under the name uncultured bacterium. RNAcentral's name for it is "partial 16S ribosomal RNA". It matches the Rfam family "Bacterial small subunit ribosomal RNA", at positions 28 to 526 of the family's 1533-position model. The record is from RNAcentral.
GACGAACGCUGGCGGCGUGCUUAACACAUGCAAGUCGAGCGGAGCGGCGAACGGGUGAGUAACGCGUGAGUAACCUGCCCUCAACUGUGGGAUAAGCCUGGGAAACUGGGUCUAAUACUGCAUAGUUGGGGAUGGGGUCGCGGUCUAUCAGCUUGUUGGUGGGGUGAUGGCCUACCAAGGCGGUGACGGGUAGCCGGCCUGAGAGGGUGGGCGGCCACAGUGGUACUGAGAUACGGCCCAGACUCCUACGGGAGGCAGCAGGGGGGGAUAUUGCACAAUGGGCGCAAGCCUGAUGCAGCGACGCCGCGUGAGGAAUGAAGGCGUGCGGGUUGUAAACCUCUUUCGGUACAGACGGGGUAUGUGCAGAAGAAGCGCCGGCUAACUACGUGCCAGCAGCCGCGGUAAUUC